AUGCAGACGGAGCAAAUUAAGGAAGAGUGCAGCUCCACAGGGGACAGCUGUGAGCGUGCUGCGGUGCAGCGCUUGGCACCUCGGGCUGCUUACACAGCGAGAUGCACACCGAGUUCAAGCACUCCUCGGUCGGAGGUUUCACUUCUUGCCAUCCCCAUCCUGGGAAGAUGUAGAGAACUUCAGAGCAGCAAGGACGAGAUGGAGACUGCCCGCGGGCUGGGGAGAAAAGAGAACUGGCUCAAACAGAAAGAACGCCGGAGGAACAGAGGAGCCAAACGAGGAAGUACCUGGCAAAGAGAGCAGUGGUCCUGUACUGUAAUUGAAUUUCCUUGGCUUAGAAGGCAGAAAGGAAGAAUGCAUCAUCAGGAGCUGGAGGUCAAGAAUUAAAAAAGCCAGCAUAGCAGACGUUCCUGUGGCCUGUUGUUGCCUUAAUGUCUGAAGCUUUCACAUCCCUGCCUGCACAGUAAGUUAAAAUUCUUUGUUCUUAUGUUUAGGUCUCCACUGUGUUUUACUACUCCAAAUCUUGUAGCUGUUCAGGCUUUUUUUCUUCCUUCACUCCUCCUUUUAUGCCUUUCUGUAUGUUUACAAUGCCUUUCCAAACUCCUGCUCUCUAGAAAAAGGGGAUUCUAGAGUUAAGUGUAAUAGAACCUGUUCAUAUGUAUGUAACUCCAAUGUAGAGACUGGCGGGUCACUAAUUUGCCUCUUCCUUUUCUUAUUUGCUUCAACUAGUGUGUAAAAAUGUGAAAGUAGAGUUUUCCAAGGUGAAAUAGGUAACCACAAACAUCAGCUCAGGAUUAAUCAUCUACUUAAGCCCCGAGAUAAAAAGCAGCAGAGAGG
This 837-nucleotide long non-coding RNA is filed under the name Phasianus colchicus (ring-necked pheasant). RNAcentral describes it as "lncRNA (ENSPCLG00000003952.1)". Lineage: Eukaryota; Metazoa; Chordata; Aves; Galliformes; Phasianidae. The record is from RNAcentral.